This is a long non-coding RNA of Asparagus officinalis (garden asparagus), 951 nucleotides long. RefSeq lists it as uncharacterized. The transcript has 6 exons. NCBI's taxonomy places the organism in Eukaryota, Viridiplantae, Streptophyta, Magnoliopsida, Asparagales, Asparagaceae. The record is from RefSeq and is a predicted model, not a curated record.
AGGUUGGAAUAUGCUGCAACUUGAUGGAGUCAUUUGUACCAUUUGGGGGUUUCUUCCCUUAUGCGUAUGAAUCUAAUAUUCCAGUAAUGAAAUCGUAUUCCUUGGUUCCUCGCUGCCAGCUUUGUAAUGACAAAUAUGAGGAAGAACUUGCUAUAAUUCUGAAGGGAAGUGCACCUUCUUAUGUAGAUCAGAACCAUGCAAAAUUGCCUUUGUCGCUACAAAAUGUUGAUAAGGUCAGAAUGAAUAAUCAAUUGGAUGUCUCGAAGAUUAUGCUAGAGAUUUGGAUAAACGCCUGUGUGGUGAAAUAAGGAUCUGGUAAUGUAGAGUGCUAUAACCAUUGUCCUUCUUGCUCACAUCACAAAUGUUGCUCUGCAAUAACUUUGAUGACUACCAUGUCGGUACAAGAGAGCAUAUUACACUUUAGGAUACUGUGAUGGCACUGGAUACUCCACAUCACAAUUUGGAUUACAUGAGAGAUUUGGUGAUGGAGAUGCUUCUCAGAUUGGUCUGGAGCUUGACGAGUCUUCUGCUUCUUGCUUUGCUACACACAAGAAUUAUUAUUGGAGAAUAAUCUCACACUUCAGGAUGCUCAAGUUUUUUACAGAACAUAAUAUUUGUUGUUCACGCGCAUCCAACCUUAUCUGAAGUCCUCGAUGAGCUCUUCAAAUCUGCCAAGCUCAUCAAUGAAAAGCCUCAAGUGAUUCAAGAGUAAGCAUCAAUAAAGGCAAUUCCAAAUCAGCAAAUAAUUACCAAAAUGAAGAGGGUCUUGGGAGUGAAACUGAGAGGAAAGAAAUAAUUUGCCCCGUUCAAAAUUAGUAACUUAUGGAACUUUGACAUAUGCAUCAAAUGGUUCUAUUUUGAUUUUGAGCACCUUGAACUGAUGAUAGUGUAUAUGAAGUGUGGAGCUGGUUCUGUGUCUUUUUACAUGAGAUGAACUAAUUGCUUGUGUUA